CACAAGGGCCACAUCUAACUCCCUCUUAAAUAUAGCCAAUGAACUGGCCUCAACUACCUUCUGUGGCAGAGAAUUGCACAGAUUCACCACUCUCUGUGUAAUAAAUUGACAGGUACAGAAUGCAGCGAAAGGCAGGCAAGCACAAACAUAUUGCAAAACAGCUCAGCCACAUUCACUUAUGUACUGGCAUUAUGUCUAUUGGAUGAGAUUUGCUCAGAGCACAUAUCAAAAAGACAGACCAUUUUUUCUCAGUUUAUUUCGUUUCUCACUACGUGUCGGGCAGGAACAGAUUUGGUUGAUUGCGCCUGUCUUGUUCAAUCUUGUUUUUUGGCAUCAUAGUCAUAGAAUUGUAGAGCAUUAAAACAGGCACUUCAGUAACCUGCUUCUCUGUGGGCCAUCAUACCUAUCUAUACUAAUCCCUCUAUGCCUUGCUCAUUCAAGUACCUGCAGUUAUUGUUUGUGCUUCUGGCAACACCAUCCAAAUACCAACUACUUUGUGUGGAAAGAUUAUUCCCUCCGAUCCCCUGAGACUCCCCUCUUGCAUUAAUCCUCUGUCCCGGGCUCUAAAUACUCCCAGCACUGGAAACUGAUUCUGACAACCUACCCCAUGGAUAUGUACCCCUUGACCUCAUUUCCUCCAGGAAAAAUACCCAACCAUCCAAUAAGCCUUCCAUCCAGAUAUUAUUCUUUUCUGUACCAUAUCUAGCCCAAACACAUCUUUCCUGUAGAGUGGCCUAGAAUGGCCCACAACACAUCCAAGUACAGCCAAACCGAUGUUUGCAUUAUGGUCCCAACUCUUGUAGUCAAUGCCUCUGCUAAUGAAGAUAAGCACGCCUGAUGUCUUCACCACCGUGUCGACUCGUCUAGCCACUUUCCUGCUGUAGGUGUGUGGUAGGGAAAUAGAGGGGAGUCGAUGGGCUUGUAAGAAGGAUAUGUUCCAGGUAACUAAGAGCAUGUUGUAUGCAAAGGUUCUCGACCGGAUUGCUAAGAAUUGGGAAAGAAAAAUCGGCCGGAUGAUUUGGUUAAAGAAUACAGAUUUCCUUUCCCUACAGACUCUAGUGGCCAAAUUUGGUGACCUACAAUAAGUUCACUAUUUUUUUUUUUUUUUAACUCGGAUUUCCCCCAAAUUAUGAUAAAUUAAUUUUGUUAACUGAAUUUGAUUUCUCCAGCUGCUGUCCUCUGGAUAUUAUUCCAGUAAACUAACCAAUAUGUGACUGAACAUAUUCUGCUGCCCUAUCUAUGAAUGAGAGCGUUGACUUAUUUGAAUGCCAUUCUAAAUGGUGCAACAUCCCUUUUAUGCACUGCUUAAGUGCUCAUUUGUUACUUGUAGAAAUGGUGAAUUUCAGUGCUUUUUGCAUCAUAGGGAGACAGUACGGCUAGGCCUCAUUAAUUUGUAUCUAGCCACCCAUCACUUGCCAGACCAUGCCCUGCUCCCACUUCCUUUUCCAGCUUUUUUCCUCUUAUUAUCAGUGUUCUGACCUGAAACAUCAACUGUCCACUCUCUCCACAGAUGCUGCUUGACCCACUGAGUUCCUCCACUACUUGGUGUUUUGUUCUAGAUCCCAACAUCUGCAGUCUCUUGUGUCUCCAAUAUUGGCCUCUGGGUUUGUAGAUGGCAGGGAGAAAUAGUGAGUUUACCGACAUCACAAUUUCACCUCAAAGUUAGCGUUUGGUGUUUAAAUCUCCAGUAUCAACAUUAGUGAAUCCAAUGAAAAGUCCCAGAGAAAUUUUCACCAGAAAGUUUUCAUUCUGAAAAUCUUCCUGGAAUACCUUUGAUCGUAUUCCAUAUUGAUAUUUCAGGGUGUUAGUGGUUUUUGGUGAUUUUGAUGGAUAUUUUUACUUGCAUUCUAUAGGCUUCAGUUAACAGUUGAUCAGUGGAUAGCUUGCACGCACAUGGCACUGCAUUUCUUUUUCUGAUAAAGUUAUUUUCAGAUAUUUGUCUGAAAUGUUUUGAACGAAGUUUUCAUCACAUAGAAUUAGGAAUAUUUGCAUUGAUGUCAUGCCUUUCACAAUAUCACAAUGCCCCACUUGGGUGCUUUUGAAACUAUGUCCAUAUUGUGGGAAGUGUGACAGCUGAUCGAUACACAGCAGGUUCUGGCAAACAGUAGUAUGGUGAUCACCAGGAUUUGCACCAUAAUUCCUCUGCACUUGAAAAUAUUGCCGUGGGAUGAGUUUCUAUCUCCAAGAGAGUAUUUACGGCCUUGAUUUAUUGUUGGCUCUUGAAAGAAUGUACCUCUGACAGUUCAGGAUGCUCUUGAGUGCACAGUAGUGUCACUUAAGAUGUAUUCAAAUCUCCAAAGUGGUUUAGAGAAAAGAAUAGCAUUAGCAGGCCAUUGAGCCUAACCAGACCAUGCCAUGUUUCCACUCAUCCUCAACCUGCUCCUUAUCAAAAAUUAUGACCACAAUCUAUUGCAUCUGUUUAGUUAGAUUUCUUGUUGAUGCAUUUCUACCAUUCGUAUCAACUACAUUCUUGUGUGAAAUGAGCCAAAGAUUUAAACUUUCCCCAGCCCUCACCCAUCACUAGUGUGACAUGCUAAGCAUGUUACCCAUCUAAUUGAAAAUGAAAUGGGUUUUGGACAGAGCAAAGGACUCUUGUGGACAUGCAAAACCAUUCGGCUGAAUGAGUGAGGUCAGUAAGGCAUGGCUUGCUCUAACCGGAAUAUAUGGUUGGAUUUGGUUUGGGUAGGUAGGUGGUGUGUGGGGUAGUUAAUUCCAUAUUCAAACCCAUCCCCGGCUAAAUAAUUCUUGAAAGGAUUUUAGUGACUACCUUAAGUAAACCUUGGUUUUGUUUCCCUGGGUAGUUUUACUUAGCAUUGCAAAUAUUAAGUAUUCACCUUGCCCACAGCUAGCAAUGGUUAGUUUCUUAUCAUUAUUGUUUUGCAUAUUUGUUUUGUAUCCCUCUAUAUCACCAUCUAUAUCCCUUGUUUCCCUUUCCCCUGACUCUGAGUCUGAAGAAGGGUCUCGACCCGAAACGUCAUCUAUUCCUUUUCUCCAGAGAUGCUGCCUCACCCGCUGAGUUACUCCAGCUUUGAGGCAGAUGCAUUGUAACUGCUUCAAUUUUCAUGUAGCCUCAGAAAGAAUAUAUCGCAAUGAUCGCAAAAAUCUUUGUGGACUCGCAAUGUAAACUACCCAGGUUAAGAGGUUAAUGUGGAUAAAUUGGAAGUAAAAUUAUGUCUGUGGUAUCUUUGAAAGUACUGUCGGGGAAGACUACUUACUUAUAGUUUAGCUGCCAAGGACAUGAAGAACACUUAGUGGUAAUGGCCUCAAUUCUCAGUGGACUUGGCAAUACUAAAGCAGUUAUGGGUUUUUCUUUCCCCUAUGAUGUUUGUCUCAUUAAUUCUUCUCCAUUUUAUUGCAAACCUUUCAUAUGAACAUCUCUAAUUGGUGCCUUAUGGUACUUUUUUGCUAUUUGAUUUUUGUCACUUGGAAGUCCAAAAAACUACCUGCCUAAUUGGACAUCAGGCUGACCGAUUAGUGUAGCAUGUACAGAGACAUAUGUUUAGCACUGCCCUAUAUUUGUGUGUUAAGCCUCUAGCAUUCCUGUAUUGAUACCAGCCCAUGGUUUCUCUAUAAACAGCGUAUGUGGGAUAAACUAUUGGGAACUGGUCAGAAUCUUAUUUCAUUUAGGCAAUUUCUAAGAAUUUCCACCCGGAAGUACUGCUGGGCUUUAAAUUGCUCAAAUUUGCUGUAGCAUUAUGGUACGAUGAAAAAUUAAAUUCCAUUGCAUUCCAAAA
Molecule: long non-coding RNA, 3734 nt
Organism: Amblyraja radiata (thorny skate)
Lineage: Eukaryota; Metazoa; Chordata; Chondrichthyes; Rajiformes; Rajidae
Exons: 2
Source: RefSeq, a predicted model, not a curated record